CCCUCCUGAAGCCGUUGACUUUUUAGCACAUGUUUAACCGUUCGUCUUAUUUAAAAAAUUUAAGUAAUUAUUAAUUCUUUUCCUAUCAUUUGAUUCAUUGUUAAAUAUAUUUUUAUGUAGGCAUAUAAUUACAUAUUUCAAAAAGGUUUUUAAUAAGACGAACGGUCAAAUAUGUGCUAAAAAGUCAACGGUGUCAAACAUU
Molecule: microRNA precursor, 202 nt
Filed under: Oryza sativa Japonica Group (Japanese rice)
Lineage: Eukaryota; Viridiplantae; Streptophyta; Magnoliopsida; Poales; Poaceae
Description: MIR812 microRNA precursor family
Rfam family: MIR812 microRNA precursor family
Source: Rfam by way of RNAcentral